RNAcentral lists this ribosomal RNA (270 nucleotides) under uncultured archaeon. RNAcentral describes it as "partial 16S ribosomal RNA". It matches the Rfam family "Archaeal small subunit ribosomal RNA", at positions 477 to 747 of the family's 1478-position model. The record is from RNAcentral.
CAGCCCCUCGAGUGGUGGGGAUGAUUAUUUGGCCUAAAGCGUCCGUAGCCGGCCCUGUAAAUCUCUCGUUAAAUCCAACGUCCUAAGCGUUGGGCUGCGAGGGAAACUGCAGAGCUAGAGGGUGGGAGAGGUCAGCGGUAUUCCUGGGGUAGGGGCGAAAUCCAUUGAUCCCAGGAGGACCACCAGUGGCGAAGGCUGCUGACUUGAACACGCCUGACGGUGAGGGACGAAAGCUGGGGUAGCGAAUCGGAUUAGAUACCCUGGUAGUCC